This 288-nucleotide ribosomal RNA is filed under the name uncultured bacterium. Its description in RNAcentral is "partial 16S ribosomal RNA". It matches the Rfam family "Bacterial small subunit ribosomal RNA", at positions 355 to 635 of the family's 1533-position model. The record is from RNAcentral.
UAGGGAAUCUUCCACAAUGGACGCAAGUCUGAUGGAGCAACGCCGCGUGAGUGAAGAAGGCUUUCGGGUCGUAAAACUCUGUUAUUGAAGAAGAACGUGCGUGACAGUAACUGGUCAUGCAGUGACGGUAUUCAAUCAGAAAGUCACGGCUAACUACGUGCCAGCAGCCGCGGUAAUACGUAGGUGGCGAGCGUUGUCCGGAUUUAUUGGGCGUAAAGCGAGUGCAGGCGGUCUUUUAAGUCUGAUGUGAAAGCCUUCGGCUUAACCGAAGAAGGGCAUCGGAAACUG